RNAcentral lists this long non-coding RNA (539 nucleotides) under Bos taurus (domestic cattle). RNAcentral's name for it is "long non-coding RNA NONBTAT020514". The record is from RNAcentral. Lineage: Eukaryota; Metazoa; Chordata; Mammalia; Artiodactyla; Bovidae.
GGUUCUGAAGGAGGAUGAGAAUUUAUAAUUAUUACUAACUCCUUAGAAGAUGGCAUAAAAACACUUUAUCUUUUAAUUCCAGUUUGAAGGUAAGAAGCUGCUCAUAAAAGAAGGUUAUUCUAUUUAAGUAAUUGUUCAGCACAACUUACCUUAAUUUACUUGUCUUUGUAAAAUAACCACAUCUCUCUUAUAUGCAUCAUGAUGGUUCGUUCAAUACAAGUACUAAAAAUACUACUACUAAUUAUAUUUCUGUGAUAAUCCUCUAUGUAAUUCCAAUAAUUCAAGGUAUUGCAUUAUUGUUUGUUACUAGGAUAAAUAUCUCUUUUAUUCUCAAAUUAUAAUAUUUAAAAGCUCCAAAGGCAUCCUCUCAAGAAAUAAGUAGUUGGUAACAGAAUAAAGAAGGGUAUCAAAGCAUUCUCAUUGUUCUUUCCCUUUUCCAAAAGUCCAAAUGAGUCACACCCAUAGGUCCAGAAUCAAAGACUCUUGGAGAUGAAGUCCAAACUCUAAUAUAAUCACAACAUAAUAUACCACUCAAGUUG